GAUGAACGCUGGCGGCGUGCCUAAUACAUGCAAGUCGAGCGAACGGACGAGAAGCUUGCUUCUCUGAUGUUAGCGGCGGACGGGUGAGUAACACGUGGAUAACCUACCUAUAAGACUGGGAUAACUUCGGGAAACCGGAGCUAAUACCGGAUAAUAUUUUGCACCGCAUGUUCAAAAGUGAAAUAUGGUCUUGCUGUCACUUAUAGAUGGAUCCGCGCUGCAUUAGCUAGUUGGUAAGGUAACGGCUUACCAAGGCAACGAUGCAUAGCCGACCUGAGAGGGUGAUCGCCGACACUGGAGGUGAGACACGGUCCAGACUACUACGGGAGGCAGCAGUAGGGAAUCUUCCGCAAUAGGCGAAAGCCUGACGGAGCAACGCCGCGUGAGAGAUGAAGGUCUUCGGAUCGUAAAACUCGGUUAUUAGGGAAGAACAUAUGUGGAAGUAACUGUGCACAUCUUGACGGUACCUAAUCAGAAAGCCACGGCUAACUACGUG
RNAcentral lists this ribosomal RNA (496 nucleotides) under uncultured bacterium. RNAcentral's name for it is "partial 16S ribosomal RNA". It matches the Rfam family "Bacterial small subunit ribosomal RNA", at positions 28 to 507 of the family's 1533-position model. The record is from RNAcentral.